Molecule: long non-coding RNA, 5357 nt
Filed under: Sus scrofa (pig)
Lineage: Eukaryota; Metazoa; Chordata; Mammalia; Artiodactyla; Suidae
Description: lncRNA (ENSSSCG00040054925.1)
Source: RNAcentral
UUUUUUUUCUUAAUAAAAGUUUAUUAUCUGUAGGAUCUAUAGAUGUAUCCCCACUUUCAUUUCUUUUUUUAAAAUGAUUUUUAUUUUUUCCAUUAGAGUUGAUUUACAGCGUUCUGUCCAUUUUCUGCUGUACAGCAAGGUGACCUAGUCACACAUACAUAUAUACAUUCUUUUUCUCACAUUUAAAACUUCACUCUCAUUCCCACAACCUUGGUCUGCCCAUCUGCCGCCUCAUCUGCCAGGGCUUGUCCCUUCCUCUUUCCCCACCCACAGAGUAUCAGCCCCCGGCAGCCUGAUUGAGGUCUUUCAUGUGUUUCCAUUCUCAUCACACGCAAUCUGGAAACUCACCUUCAGAGCAGAGGAUGGCUCUGGGGUGCAGACUCAGACCAGCCCUGUUGUACACCUCUCUCUUCCCUCAGGGAGAGGGGGCAGGCUUUUCUGGUCCUCUGCUUGGGAAGAAAAGCAGAGUGACAGGGAAUUCUUUCAUGGGAUGGAGAUGGAGGGUCCAGGAAAUGCUCUGCAGCCCCAUCUCCCUGGGGAAAGCGACGGAGUACCAAAGAAAUACCAUUCUUUGAAGUACCGAAGAAAGUAUUGGUCUUUGGAGUGCCAAAGAAAGUACCAUUUAUGUUACAGGGUAGGCAGUGGGAGAAGAGUGGCCUCGGGAUGUCACACUGAAUUCUAUGCUGAAGGAAUGGCUAUUGCCACUUCAAAAAUCUGAGCAUCAGGAGUUCCCGUCAUGGCACAGUGGUUAACGAAUCCGACAAGGAACCAUGAGGUUGCGGGUUCGAUCCCUGCCCUUGCUCAGUGGGUUAAGGAUCCGGCGUUACCAUGAGCUGUGGUGUAGGUCACAGACGUGGCUCUGCCCGUGUUGCUGUGGUUCUGGCGUAAGCUGGUGGCUACAGCUCUGAUUCGGCCCCUAGCCUGGGGACCUCCAUAUGCCGCAGAAGCGGCCCAAGAGAUGGCAAAAAGACAAAACAAAACAAAACAAACUGAGCAUCAGAGAGGUUAAGUGGCUUGUUCAUUGUCACACAGCAGUGGAGCCAGUAAUGGACUCUAGUCUCUUGUCAAAGCCCUUGUUCAUUCCACUGCAAAGAGGGUCUCUGUGGAUUGAGGAAACUGGCUGACUAGACUGCCUUUUUCUGUCUUAACCAUCUGAGACAGUCUCUUCCCACCUAACACCUCAGCAUUUGUUUAUCUCUCUCCUGCCCUUUCCUCAUUUGCAUCUCAUUUCCUCUAGAAAGGUUCACGGUGUAGACACCCUCACCUCUCCUGUCCUGCCCCUUGCACAUCUUCACCCACGACUCCAUGACGUCACCAGCACCCCGGGCAAGUUCCCGACACCUCCUCGCUUGGUGGAGCGUCGGGAUUCUCCCACUCGGGGCGGAGCCAAGACUUUCCCUUCCCUAUAGGACGCUUAUUAGAAACCUGUGCUCAGGAAUUCAGUGUUUGCCUUGAGUUAGAAGGAGAUCUGGGAUCAGGCUAACGCUUGCAGUUCGGAUGGAGGCUCAGUCGCUUCAAGCUCUCUCAAACAUGCCCAGGCCCCCUUCUCCCCACCAUGGCACUCACUGAAUCACAGACACCUAGUUCUGUCUGCAGCGCCCCAUGCAGGUCUGUUCUGCUUUUAUUGGCAAGGUAGUACCUCCACAACACUGAAAAUAAUUUUGGUAAAAGAGCAAAAGAUUUCACCUAAAGCCCACUUGUUAUUAAAAGUUAUUUUUGUUUUUGCAUAUUUCUUUUCUAGUUUUGAUCCCAUGUUAUCAGAGUUGUUUUUUUUUUUUUCCUACCCCAUUUUCCAUCAUGGGGUACACACCAUUUUCUUUCUCCUUUGUUCCCCUUAUUCCCUUAUUCUCUUAGUGCUCAUUUUUCAGUGUAAGUUCCAGAAUUACUAUUUUUUUGUGUGUGUCUUUUUUUUUCAGGGCCGCACCCAUGGCAUAUGGAGGUUCCCAGGCUAGGAGUCGAAUCAGAGCUGUUGCUGCUGGCCUACACCACAGCCACAGCAACGCUAGAUCCGAGCCGCGUCUGCGACCUACACUACAGCUCGCGGCAACGCUGGAUCCUUAACCCACUGAGUGAGGCCAGGGAUCAAACCUGCAAUCUCAUGGUUCCUAGUCGGAUUCGUUUCUGCUGUGCCAUCACGGGAACUCCCCAGAAUUACUAUUUUAAAUUUAUGUCUAGCCUUUCAUGGAUUGGAUGAAGCAUAAUUUAUUAAAAUAGUUCCCUGCUGAUGUACAUGGUGCUUCCUCUGGCACAAGCACAGAAAAUAUCUUAAUGGAAGUUUUAUGCAUGUAGCUUUGGCUUUCAUUGAAUUAUUUCCCCAGAAAAUUGAUCAAGAAUGGGAAUGGUUAUGAACAGUCUGAUCACAAUAUGGAGUUAGUAUUAAGAGUGGAGUCCCAAAGACAAAUUUAAAAAAGACUAUGUGUGGCACUUGCUAGCUGUGUGACCUUGCACAAACCCCUCAGUCUCUCCAAGUCUCAAUUUCCUCAAAUGUAAAAUAAAACUAAUAUAAUGCUUAGUCUAUAAGGUUGUGGUGAAGACUGAAUAAAAUAAUGGAAUUAAAAAUAUAAUAAAACUACAUAUAUUCCAUGUAUCUUAGCUAUUACUAGUACUAGUACUGCUGCUACAACUACUACUGAUACUGUGUUGUUGUUGUUUUUUUUCUGUACCUUUAGACUCAGCUGACUCAACACCAUUCGGCGGAAACCAGGAAUACUUUCUUAGCAGCAAACACGGCCUAGUUUGCCAUCAUCCAAAUAAGGUCAAAUCAUUUUAGAACUUAUUUCAUCCAUACCUCUCAACUGUGCCACCUGCUGCCUGCUGGCAUCUCUUGACUGUCAGAGUCCGAGGCUUUACCAGAUCUCUUUUAAGGCUCUUUAAAGAUCUUUGUGGGACCUUUUAAUUUUGGAAACCAUACUCCAGAUCACAUCAGACGUAUUAAAAAUCCCCUGUCCCCCAUAUCCUAUAGGAAAUAUAGGAGCAGUAGACUAGUAAGUGUAAUGCAAUGACAUUUUGUUUUAAAUUAAAUUCUUAAUAAUUUUGAUUUGGUGGAUUGGGUUAAGGUUUAGGGAUCCAAGGAAUAAUGCCUUUCACCUUCCCUCCUGAGUUCAGAACUAAAGAUGAAAUAUAUUCAGGGGUCAGAAAGAUGGACAUCAAGAUAUCAACUUUAUUAUGAGGAAAAGCUGAAUAUGGUUUAAAUGUGUGGCAACAGAGAGCUUCCUUUUUAAAAAAUUUUGUUAUUUUUAUUAGAGUAUAUUUCAUUUACACAGAGAGCUUUCUAAUACCACCCUCUGAAAUGAACUUGCAGCCCUCCCCCCAAAACCUUCAGGCUUCCCCCACUUGCCACUGUGUGGAUAGAAGGCCAGAAUGGACCCUUGGUGCAGGGUCUGAAAGAGGGACAGAGGGAGGAGCUGAGUGGCAGAUGUUCAGAUUUUCUCCAAACUUAUUGCCAAAAAAAAAAAAAAAAAAGAGAGAGAGAGAGAGAGAGAGAAGGUAAAAGAUCUGAGAGGUCAGGAGUAUUUUUAGCUGAAAUUCCUCCACAUGAGAUUAUCCGGCCAUUUGUUGCAACAUGGAUGGACCUAGACAUGAUCAUACUAAGUGAAGUAAGUCAGAGAGAGAAAGACAAGUAUCAUGGUAUCACUUCUAUGUUGAAUCUUAAAAAAAUGAUACAAAGGAACUUAUUUGCAAAAUAGAAAUAAACUUGCAGACAGAAAACAAACUAUGGUUACCAAAAGGGAAAGGUGGGGGAGGGAAAAAUUAGGAGUUUGGGCUUAACAGACACAAUUGACUACAUAUAAAAUAGAUAAACAACAAUGACCUACUGAAUAGCACAGGGAGCUAUAUUUAACAUCUUACAAUAAACAAAAAUGGAAAAGAAUCUGGGAAAGAAUAUAUAUAUGUACACAUAUGUGUGUGUAACUGAAUCACCUUGCUGUACACCUGAAACGUUAUGACUCAACGGUACUUCAAUUUUUAAAAAAGAAGGAAAAUAUCAGGCCAGGGAAUGAUGGGUUUCCUUCUGGACCCAGUACUGGAUCCUGUGCUGACCUGCGGGACAUAAUGACAACAGGUUCCAUCUCACCAUUUGGACCUUGUGUGGUCUGUCUCACAGCCAUGGUUAGACACCCCCCUUUCUACUCUCCUGGGCUUGCCUAGAGCUGGCCCCCCCACGUGGGGAUGCAGCUCUGACAUUUAUGGCUCUUGAUUCCUGUGUAAUCCUCUCCACCACGGAAUAGGACUAUGUCAGAAGCAAAAACAAACAAACAAACAAAACAAAAACCCCUGUUCAAAUUAGCUUAAUUCAUAUUCGGGAAAUUUGCUAUUUUACAUUCCAAUAAAGGAAAAUUCCAAUGUUCCGUUAUCAAUGACUCAGUGACAUGGAACCCAGGUCCUUUCUGCUCUGUCAAUUGCCCAUUGGCUUCAUCCUAAAACUAGUCCUACUCGUGUUUCUAAGAUAGAUGCUGCAGUUCCAGGCAUGCCAUCCGGAAACCAUUUCACCCAGAAAAAGAGAAGGAACCAUGUUGUCUCUGUUUCACCUUUUUUUCAAUAAAGAAAUCUUUCCAAAAAUGCCCCACACACUGAAUUGGCCACUUUGAAACUGAUCUCUAAGCAAGAGGGUGGAAUCACCAUUACUGUUUGAGACCUACUUAUGGAGUUAUGACUGCAUAGGGUGGACAUCCCAACAAAACUAGGUCUCUGACCAAAAAAAAAAAAAAAAAAAAAAAAAAAAGAAAGAAAGAAAAAAAAAAGAAAAGAAAACGGAUGCUAGUGUGUGAGGCAGCCAGCCAGGUCUGUUGUGCAUCAGUAGGCAUUUGUUUCAGUGGUCAUGAUUUUAAAGAAGCAGUUUCCUUCAUUUCUCUGUUCUCAUCUCUGAACCUCAAUUUCCUCAUCUGCCCUCUACACCUUGCAAGAUUGCUAUGACGACCAGGAGAGAUAACAUAUAAACUACAAAGUGCUGUGCAAAUGCGGCGUCUGAUGGGUGUGAUGAUCCUGAACGUGAGCUUUUCCUACUAUCACUGAAGUGCAACUCAUCGCGGACUUGAGCGGCUGUUUGCAAAGUUGGGGUGGUCCUUGUAAGACAUGGAAAUAUCUCAUCACUGGGAUGGAAGUUCCUCUGUGACUUCCAAAUUGAAUGACAAAUGGAAAUAAAAAACUAAAGCAGGCUAAACCAACGAGCAUAUGAAAACAUGCUCAAUGUCUCGAAUCACGAGGGAAAUGCAAGUCAAAAGCACAGUGAAAUGUCACCUUAUACCUGCGAGGAUGGCUACCAUAACGAGUGUUGGCAAGGAUGUGGAGACACUGCAAUGCUCACACAGUGAUGGUGGGAAGGUAGAAUGAUGCAGCCAUUAUGGAAAACAGUCAGG